AUUCCUACUGUUAUUGCCUGCAAGAUAAUUCAUAUAAUGAUAGGCAGUAA
Non-coding RNA from Vibrio metschnikovii CIP 69.14, 50 nucleotides. NCBI's taxonomy places the organism in Bacteria, Pseudomonadati, Pseudomonadota, Gammaproteobacteria, Vibrionales, Vibrionaceae. The record is from Rfam.